UGACGGCCAUACCACGUUGAAACACCGCUUUUCGUACGAUCAGCGAAGUUAAACAACGUCGAGCCUGUUCACUACCUAGAUGGGUGACCGCUUGAGAAACCAGGUGUUGCAAU
Acanthosepion pharaonis is the source of this 113-nucleotide non-coding RNA. The record is from the annotation of a GenBank genome assembly. Lineage: Eukaryota; Metazoa; Mollusca; Cephalopoda; Sepiida; Sepiidae.